UGUGUAAAAGUCAAAGAACUUGGCGGUUAAACCGAUGAUCCUCGUAAUACUUUACCCUAAGUUUUCUUUGCAUACCGCCGUCAUUAGGUGUACCUAAAGGGGAAAGAUUGCAGCGAGAUAUCAUUAAAUUUAAAAUGUGAAGAAGUUCAGGUAGACGUGUAGGGUUUCUUAGGGGCUUAGCUGAGUUACAAAUGUAAAACAAUUAUGGACCAUAAAAUGAAAUGUUUAUGUGAAAGCGUACUUAUUAGUAAAUUUUGGAGAGAGAAAUGUUGAAUUGAGUAAAUAAAAUGCGUACAAAUCGCCCGGCGCCCUCGAAUAUUUAAAUUGAGGUAAGUCGUAACAUAGUAAUGCUAGUAAAAACUGGUGUUGAAAAAAAAAAAAAAACCGAUACGCGUGGUCA
RNAcentral lists this ribosomal RNA (400 nucleotides) under Corbicula fluminea. Its description in RNAcentral is "partial 12S ribosomal RNA". Lineage: Eukaryota; Metazoa; Mollusca; Bivalvia; Venerida; Cyrenidae. The record is from RNAcentral.